Molecule: ribosomal RNA, 319 nt
Filed under: uncultured bacterium
Lineage: Bacteria
Description: bacterial SSU rRNA
Rfam family: Bacterial small subunit ribosomal RNA
Source: RNAcentral
GACGGGACGGAACGGCCUUGUGCUCUAAGGUGAGCCUACGUCGGAUUAGCUAGUUGGUAGGGUAAAAGCCUACCAAGGCGAUGAUCUGUAGCUGGUCUGAGAGGACGGACAGCCACACUGGGACUGAGACACGGCCCAGACUCCUACGGGAGGCAGCAGUGGGGAAUAUUGGACAAUGGGGGGAACCCUGAUCCAGCGAUGCCGCGUGUGUGAAGAAGGCCUGCGGGUUGUAAAGCACUUUCAGUGGGAAAGAGAAGCGUCUUGUGAAUAAUGGGACGUGGAGACGUUACUCACAGAAGAAGCACCGGCUAACUCUGUG